UGUGGAGGGUGCCUGGGAAACAGGUUUGAAGGGAUUUUCUGCCUUGGUUGGUCCACUUCUUGAAGCUGAGAGUUUCUCCUCUGCUCUGCAGGUGCUGGAGGAGCUCCAGCCUGGAGUGCUGGGCACUAUGCUGGUAGUUGCAUUGAAAGCAGAAAAGGGUGCAAAGAAGAAAUAUGUAAUAAAGCAGGUUGAAUGCAUUGAAGAAAGCCAAGCAAAUGAGGCCUUGAAGGAGGCAACAGAUUUGCUAAAACUUCAUCAUUCAAACAUCUGUGCUUACCAGGAAUUGUUUAUAACUUGGGAUAAUAAGGUGAGAUUUGAAACAAACCUGCUGCUUUAACUCCUGAAUAAACAUACUGAAAAGCUGUGAAGAUACA
This 374-nucleotide long non-coding RNA is filed under the name Calidris pygmaea (Spoon-billed sandpiper). RNAcentral describes it as "lncRNA (ENSCPGG00000005151.1)". The record is from RNAcentral. Lineage: Eukaryota; Metazoa; Chordata; Aves; Charadriiformes; Scolopacidae.